This 380-nucleotide ribosomal RNA is filed under the name uncultured eukaryote. Its description in RNAcentral is "partial 18S ribosomal RNA". It matches the Rfam family "Eukaryotic small subunit ribosomal RNA", at positions 592 to 976 of the family's 1831-position model. The record is from RNAcentral.
CAAUAGCGUAUAUUAAAGUUGUUGCAGUUAGAACGCUCGUAGUCGGAUUUCGGGGCGGGUCGACCGGUCUGCCGAUGGGUACGCACUGGCCGACGCGUCCUUUUUGCCGGAGACCGUCCCUACUCUUAACUGAGCGGGGUCGGGAGACGGCACUUUUACUUUGAAAAAAUCAGAGUGUUUCAAGCAGGCAGCUCGCUCUUGCAUGGAUUAGCAUGGGAUAAUGAAAUAGGACUUUGGUGCUAUUUUGUUGGUUUCGAACACCGAAGUAAUGAUGAGAAGGGACAGUCAGGGGCACUCGUAUUCCGCCGAGAGAGGUGAAAUUCUCAGACCAGCAGAAGACGAACCACUGCGAAAGCAUUUGCCAGGGAUGUUUUCACUGA